Molecule: non-coding RNA, 261 nt
Filed under: Acetobacter indonesiensis
Lineage: Bacteria; Pseudomonadati; Pseudomonadota; Alphaproteobacteria; Acetobacterales; Acetobacteraceae
Source: RNAcentral
GGCCAAUGUUCAGCCGAUGGUGUCCCGCAAGGGAUGAAAAGGGAAGAACGGUGCGCGGCCCAAACCGCCAGUCCGUCGCUGCCCCCGCAACUGUAAGUGCGUGAAACCAUUACCCUGUGAAGCCCCCUUGGGCGGGUCUCACACACCACCGGGCCAUCCGUCUGGGAAGGGGGGUAAUGUUGCCAGCCGCCCAAACCCAGAUGGGUCGGGCGUGUCUGGCCCGGCACAAGCCAGGAGACCUGCCAUCAGCAUGAUGUGUGA